Molecule: ribosomal RNA, 482 nt
Filed under: uncultured bacterium
Lineage: Bacteria
Description: partial 16S ribosomal RNA
Rfam family: Bacterial small subunit ribosomal RNA
Source: RNAcentral
GACGAACGCUGGCGGCGUGCUUAACACAUGCAAGUCGAACGAUGAUGCCCAGCUUGCUGGGUGGAGUAGUGGCGAACGGGUGAGUAACACGUGAGUAAACUGCCCCUGACUCGGGGAUAAACGUUGGAAAAGACGUCUAAUAAUGGAUAAGACUGCAGGCCGCAUGGCCGGGUGGAGGAAAGAUUUUUUGGUUGGGGAUGACUGGCGGCCUAGCAGCUUGUUGGUGAGGUAAUGGCUCACCAAGGCGACGACGGGUAGCCGGCCUGAGAGGGUGACCGGCCACACUGGGACUGAGACACGGACCAGACUCCUACGGGAGGCAGCAGUGGAGAAUAUUGCACAAUGGGCGAAAGCCUGAUGCAGCAACGCCGCGUGUGGGAUGACGGCCUUCGGGUUGUAAACCUCUUUUAGUAGGGAAGAAGCGAAAGUGACGGUACCUGCAGAAAAAGCACCGGCUAACUACGUGCCAGCAGCCGCGGUAA